GGCCGAUUGGCUCAAUGGUAGAGCGUCCGCCUCCUACGGCCUUCUACAGGCCCAGAUGCGAGCGGAAGGUUGCGCGUUCGAGUCGCGUGUUGGUCG
This 96-nucleotide transfer RNA is filed under the name Zymoseptoria brevis. It matches the Rfam family "tRNA". Rfam says of the family: Transfer RNA (tRNA) molecules are approximately 80 nucleotides in length. Their secondary structure includes four short double-helical elements and three loops (D, anti-codon, and T loops). Further hydrogen bonds mediate the characteristic L-shaped molecular structure. tRNAs have two regions of fundamental functional importance: the anti-codon, which is responsible for specific mRNA codon recognition, and the 3' end, to which the tRNAs corresponding amino acid is attached (by aminoacyl-tRNA synthetases). tRNAs cope with the degeneracy of the genetic code in two manners: having more than one tRNA (with a specific anti-codon) for a particular amino acid; and 'wobble' base-pairing, i.e. permitting non-standard base-pairing at the 3rd anti-codon position. The record is from Rfam by way of RNAcentral. Lineage: Eukaryota; Fungi; Ascomycota; Dothideomycetes; Mycosphaerellales; Mycosphaerellaceae.